This 269-nucleotide ribosomal RNA is filed under the name uncultured Planctomycetales bacterium. RNAcentral describes it as "partial 16S ribosomal RNA". It matches the Rfam family "Bacterial small subunit ribosomal RNA", at positions 565 to 832 of the family's 1533-position model. The record is from RNAcentral. Lineage: Bacteria; Pseudomonadati; Planctomycetota; Planctomycetia; Planctomycetales.
GAGCACGUAGGUGGGUUUGUAAGUCAGAUGUGAAAGCCUUCUGUUCAACGGAAGAAUUGCAUCUGAAACUGCGAGUCUUGAGUGUAGGAGGGGAGAAUGGGACUUCUGGUGGGGCGGUGAAAUGCGUAGAUAUCAGAAGGAACGCCGGCGGCGAAAGCGAUUCUCUGGCCUAUUACUGACACUCAGUGUGCGAAAGCUAGGGGAGCAAACGGGAUUAGAUACCCCGGUAGUCCUAGCCGUAAACGAUGGGCACUAAGUAGAGGGGUUUU